AGUGCCCCCUCCCGACACGCGGCUCCAGCCAUAGGACUCUGUCAAAGGGGACAAAUCUGGGGAUCAGGAACAGACCGGUCACCCCUGCCGGUCACCCCUGCCGCAAGAACCUGUCACUUCAGCUGAGGCACGGGAACCUGUCGAGUCAGCUGUGGCGUGGGAACCUGACAGAUCGGUUGAGGCAGGGGAGCCUGGUGAUCCGGCUGAGGCAGGGGAGCCUGAAUCGACAGAAGACCCCAUGGUGGUGGCCGUGUGCUGACCAACCAACAGGAUUUGGCAGUGGUGGAAAUGGUGAGGACCAGGAAUGAUAUACAGCUGUCCAAAACAAAGGAGGCCAUUGAGGAGAACUAUGACACCUUUGCCAAUGUGGCAUCCAUCAGCCUACCAAACAUCGUCCGCCUUUUGAAGAGCCACCAGCUGUCACGGAAGACGGUGUGGUAGGACGUAUGCCAUUACUUGGAUCCUAUAACAUUGCACACCGCAUUGUGUUUCUCAAUUCAAUUGAGCAGGCCUGUUAAGGGGAAGGGGUUACCCAUUUCAAUGUUUGGGACAGUGUCAGGCUCAACGAUGCAGAGGUGGUUCAGGCAUGGCUUCGGGCCCAUCCCCGUUUGGUGACCCUAUACCUGCCCCCAUACUCUCCUUUCCUCAACCCUACUGAGGAAUUAUUUUCAGCAUGGAGGUGGAAGGUGUACGAUCGAUCAUCCCCAUGAGUGUGCCACCCUCCUUCUGGCCAUGGAUGAGUCAUGAGACGAGAUCAAUGCAGACCAAUGUCAAGCUUGGAAUUGCCUUGCCAAAAGGUUUCCCCCACGUCCUCCCGGUUUUGACCCUUGCCUGUUUUCUGGACUCCGUACCUGCCUGC
This is a long non-coding RNA of Oncorhynchus kisutch (coho salmon), 859 nucleotides long. RefSeq lists it as uncharacterized. NCBI's taxonomy places the organism in Eukaryota, Metazoa, Chordata, Actinopteri, Salmoniformes, Salmonidae. The transcript has 4 exons. The record is from RefSeq and is a predicted model, not a curated record.